AGAGUUUGAUCCUGGCUCAGGACGAACGCUGGCGGCGUGCAUGAGACAUGCAAGUCGAACGGACGACCUCGGGCUUGCCUGGGGAAGUCAGUGGCGAACGGCUGAGUAACGCGUGGGUGACCUGCCCGGAAGUGGGGAAUAACUGCCCGAAAGGGUGGCUAAUACCGCAUGUGGCCGCACGUUCGUUCGUGUGACCAAAGCCGCAAGGCGCUUCCGGAGGGGCCUGCGUUCGAUUAGCUCGUUGGUGGGGUAACGGCUCACCAAGGCGACGAUCGAUAGGUGGUCUGAGAGGACGAUCACCCAGACUGGGACUGAGACACGGCCCAGACUCCUACGGGAGGCAGCAGUCGGGAAUUUUGCUCAAUGGGCGAAAGCCUGAAGCAGCAACGCCGCGUGAGGGAUGAAGGCCUUCGGGUUGUAAACCUCUUUUCUCAGGGACGAUAAUGACGGUACCUGAGGAAUAAGCCACGGCUAACUACGUGCCAGCAGCCGCGGUAAUACGUAGGUGGCAAGCGUUGUCCGGAUUUACUGGGCGUAAAGAGCGCGCAGGCGGCCGAGUAAGUCGAAUGUGAAAGCCCCCGGCUCAACUGGGGAAGGUCAUUCGAUACUGUUCGGCUUGAAGAUAGGAGAGGGAAGCGGAAUUUCAGGUGUAGUGGUGAAAUGCGUAGAUAUCUGAAGGAACACCAGUGGCGAAGGCGGC
This 700-nucleotide ribosomal RNA is filed under the name uncultured bacterium. RNAcentral's name for it is "bacterial SSU rRNA". It matches the Rfam family "Bacterial small subunit ribosomal RNA", at positions 8 to 725 of the family's 1533-position model. The record is from RNAcentral.